Molecule: long non-coding RNA, 474 nt
Organism: Rosa chinensis
Lineage: Eukaryota; Viridiplantae; Streptophyta; Magnoliopsida; Rosales; Rosaceae
Exons: 3
Source: RefSeq, a predicted model, not a curated record
UCAACUUACACGAGGUCAGUUCGCAUUCUCACACUCUAAUUUUGUGCCUGCAUUUUGGGGUUUUUGAUAUUGGUGUGGUUUGGGUGAUUUCACUUAAGUUCGAAGAGUAAUUCACAAAAGGCCUCCACAAGAUCUCUUUAGAAUAUACUGAGCUGUUGCUGCUAGAAGCCUGAUCAACCUUGCAACAAUCUUGUAUAUUAAUUCCAUUCGAGUGCUAAAGCUCUCUACAAAACCUUCAAAAGAAACUUUCAUUUCUAGUGACAAGUUCCAAGUGCAAGAGUAGAAGAGAUUCCAAGAUUUGGGGAAUUGAUUAGGAGGAUGCCAAAGGAAAAAAUGUAGUUCAGCAAUAACAAAGUGGUUUAGUUAGUUCUAUAUUGGAUUUAGUACAGGAGGAACCCUAAACUCUUUUGAAUUAGUAUAUAUUAUUGAUCUAAUUACUUUGAAUUAAUACUUAUUGUAAGGGAAUACUUUGAG